This 71-nucleotide transfer RNA is filed under the name Peptococcaceae bacterium. RNAcentral describes it as "tRNA-His". It matches the Rfam family "tRNA". Rfam says of the family: Transfer RNA (tRNA) molecules are approximately 80 nucleotides in length. Their secondary structure includes four short double-helical elements and three loops (D, anti-codon, and T loops). Further hydrogen bonds mediate the characteristic L-shaped molecular structure. tRNAs have two regions of fundamental functional importance: the anti-codon, which is responsible for specific mRNA codon recognition, and the 3' end, to which the tRNAs corresponding amino acid is attached (by aminoacyl-tRNA synthetases). tRNAs cope with the degeneracy of the genetic code in two manners: having more than one tRNA (with a specific anti-codon) for a particular amino acid; and 'wobble' base-pairing, i.e. permitting non-standard base-pairing at the 3rd anti-codon position. Lineage: Bacteria; Bacillati; Bacillota; Clostridia; Eubacteriales; Peptococcaceae. The record is from RNAcentral.
GAAAAAUGUGGUGAAGUGGAAUCACGCAGGUUGUGGCGCCUGAGGUAUGGGUUCGAGUCCCGUCUUUUUCU